Molecule: long non-coding RNA, 233 nt
Organism: Penaeus monodon (black tiger shrimp)
Lineage: Eukaryota; Metazoa; Arthropoda; Malacostraca; Decapoda; Penaeidae
Exons: 3
Source: RefSeq, a predicted model, not a curated record
AUGUUGACGCCGAUUAUAGGCUUCUCUGGUGAUUUUGAGUCGCUAUGACGAUGGAAGAGAGGAAUAUAAUAUGUGUCUUUGGAGUCUGCUCAACAAAUAAAUGACAGCCCUUUGGCAAGAAGCAGAUGGGAAAACUUGUCUCCAGAGAAAGGGCUAAUAGCAUUGUAAAGAGGAGGCAAGGUGAAACUGAAAAAACACAGAAGUAUUUGGUGGGCCAUGCUUACAACCCCAAC